RNAcentral lists this ribosomal RNA (463 nucleotides) under uncultured bacterium. RNAcentral describes it as "bacterial SSU rRNA". It matches the Rfam family "Bacterial small subunit ribosomal RNA", at positions 33 to 507 of the family's 1533-position model. The record is from RNAcentral.
GGACGACGCUGGCGGCGUGCUUAACACAUGCAAGUCGAGCGAUGAAACACCUUCGGGUGUGAAUUAGCGGCGAACGGGUGAGGAACACGUGAAGAAUCUGCCUUCAACUCUGGGAUAACUCCGGGAAACCGGGGCUAAUACCGGAUAUGAGCCUUGAUCGCAUGAUCGGGGCUGGAAAGUUUUUCGGUUGAAGAUGACUUCGCGGCCUAUCAGCUUGUUGGUGAGGUAAUGGCUCACCAAGGCGACGACGGGUAGCCGGCCUGAGAGGGCGACCGGCCACACUGGGACUGAGACACGGCCCAGACUCCUACGGGAGGCAGCAGUGGGGAAUAUUGGGCAAUGGAGGAAACUCUGACCCAGCGACGCCGCGUGAGGGAUGAAGGCCUUCGGGUUGUAAACCUCUUUCAGUAGGGAAGAAGCGAAAGUGACGGUACCUACAGAAGAAGCACCGGCUAACUAUGUG